RNAcentral lists this ribosomal RNA (497 nucleotides) under uncultured bacterium. RNAcentral describes it as "partial 16S ribosomal RNA". It matches the Rfam family "Bacterial small subunit ribosomal RNA", at positions 28 to 507 of the family's 1533-position model. The record is from RNAcentral.
GAUGAACGCUGGCGGCGUGCCUAAUACAUGCAAGUCGAGCGAACGGACGAGAAGCUUGCUUUUCCGAUGUUAGCGGCGGGCGGGUGAGUAACACGUGGAUAACCUACCUAUAAGACUGGGAUAACUUCGGGAAACCGGAGCUAAUACCGGAUAAUAUUUUGAACCGCAUGGUUCAAAAGUGAAAGACGGUCUUGCUGUCACUUAUAGAUGGAUCCGCGCUGCAUUAGCUAGUUGGUAAGGUAACGGCUUACCAAGGCAACGAUGCAUAGCCGACCUGAGAGGGUGAUCGGCCACACUGGAACUGAGACACGGUCCAGACUCCUACGGGAGGCAGCAGUAGGGAAUCUUCCGCAAUGGGCGAAAGCCUGACGGAGCAACGCCGCGUGAGUGAUGAAGGUCUUCGGAUCGUAAAACUCUGUUAUUAGGGAAGAACAUAUGUGUAAGUAACUGUGCACAUCUUGACGGUACCUAAUCAGAAAGCCACGGCUAACUACGUG